Molecule: ribosomal RNA, 602 nt
Filed under: uncultured bacterium
Lineage: Bacteria
Description: bacterial SSU rRNA
Rfam family: Bacterial small subunit ribosomal RNA
Source: RNAcentral
AGUAGUCCACGCCGUAAACGAUGAGGAGCAGGUGUUGGGAGUGAAAUCUCAGUGCCGAAGCCAACGCAGUGACUCCUCCGCCUGGGGAGUAUGCACGCAAGUGUGAAACUCAAAGGAAUUGACGGGGGCCCGCACAAGCGGUGGAGUAUGUGGUUUAAUUCGAAGCAACGCGAAGAACCUUACCAGGUUUUGACAUCGGAUGCGAAGGCGCAGAGAUGCGCUGGAGGCUAUCAUCCAGACAGGUGGUGCAUGGUUGUCAUCAGCUCGUGUCGUGAGAUGUUCAGUUAAGUCUGGCAACGAGCGCAACCCCCGUGGUAUGUUACUAACGCUUUAGGGCGAGGACUCAUAUCAGACUGCCGGUGACAAACCGGAGGAAGGCGGGGAUGACGUCAAAUCAUCAUGCCCCUUAUGACCUGGGCUACACACGUACUACAAUGGCGUCUACAGAGGGAAGCGACCCUGAGAAGGGAAGCGAAACCGGAAAAGGGCGUCCCAGUUCGGAUUGAAGUCUGCAACCCGACUUCAUGAAGAUGGAAUCGCUAGUAAUCGCGGAUCAGCAUGCCGCGGUGAAUACGUUCCCGGGCCUUGUACCACCGCCCGUC